AAGGGUCUCUUAGUGCGUAAGUUACAUCUCCAAUGCAACCAUGUGUGGUAUUGAAAGGUGGCAGCCUUCAAGUUCUGAAUGUUGCGGCUGUCUUCGAAUUUGAGAUGGUGCGUGGUGUAGAUGGAUGCAGCCCAUGAAGAAACCUGUGCAUAGAGUCCUUUGGUGCUCACAACUUCUUAAAAAAAAUUCUGGGGGUUCCUCUAGAAAGUGGACUAUGCAUGUACGUGUGUUCUCUGAAAAUCAAAACUGUGCGUGGGCUUCUUCAUGCGGCUGUGAAGACUUCCCGAGGUGGCGUGUUUCUGUUAGUGCGUGGUCCCCAUGGGAGUGCAGGCUGCCCCUCAAUCCGUGCUCUUGGAUUUCAAGUGUCCAUCCAAAGUGGCAACAUGAGAUGUUUGUUUCUCUCAAAGUGGGUUCAAAUUUUUGUUUCUCUAUAUUGAUGAUGCGACUGUUUCUCAGAAAAUCCUCACUUGGUACCCUCUCCUCCAUAUUCAGGUACGGAGCAAUGAACCCUCAAAGACUCCUUGGGAUCAAAUUUAAGAGACUGAACGUGAAUACCAGAAAUUCUGAUAAGCUAUGACAUUGUGUUUAAGUCUUUUGGAAAGUGACUUUAGAAAAGACUUCAAGGCAGAAUUCUGAACUGCAAUGUAAUGUGCAUGACAACCUUGGAAGUCUCAUCAGAAAAAGUUCAAAUUUCUUCCAUUGGAGGCCUCAAAUUCAACAACUUCUUGAUUCGUCAAAGAGGGUACCCUCAUCACUAGAGUUUUCCAUUACACUUCGAGAAUUUUCUGGUCUGUAUUAACUUUGAAAUUUUUCUGGCCCAUGUUCAGUUGAAUGAAUAUAUCCCCAAGGAGGUAUUCCAUGACUGCCCACAAUGAGAAACACCAAAGAGUAUAUGUGCAUUAAUCCAUAUGAAAUGUACAAAUGACCCAAAUGUUGUUUCAGAAGAGGAGGCAUCAACACUUAAUUCUUUCUCUUCCAGUUCUUCCUAAGUCUAUGUAGACUUCCUCAGAUACUAUAUUUAAUUCACAAACCUCAGACAUCAAUUGAUACUGAUCCAGAAUUCCAUGACACCCUUUCAGUACCUUUUGAAAUGCCCCUUCACCUGUUAGAUUCAAAUAGCUCAUUCGACAAACUUGGCUGCCACACAAACAAACAGAUACCUCAUACUCUUUCUUACUCUCUGUGACUGAGUUAUAAUCAAAGAUGAUCUCCUCACCACAUUGAAUUUGACGUACGGUGUAGAUUCCAAUCUGGUACUG
This 1259-nucleotide long non-coding RNA is filed under the name Vitis vinifera (wine grape). RNAcentral describes it as "long non-coding RNA (VVIN_LNC003288)". Lineage: Eukaryota; Viridiplantae; Streptophyta; Magnoliopsida; Vitales; Vitaceae. The record is from RNAcentral.